AUUGAACGCUGGCGGCAUGCCUUACACAUGCAAGUCGAACGGCAGCACGGGAGCAAUCCUGGUGGCGAGUGGCGAACGGGUGAGUAAUAUAUCGGAACGUGCCCAGUCGUGGGGAUAACGCAGCGAAAGCUGUGCUAAUACCGCAUACGAUCUAAGGAUGAAAGCGGGGGACUCGCAAGAGCCUCGCGCGAUUGGAGCGGCCGAUAUCAGAUUAGGUAGUUGGUGGGGGUUAAAGGCUCACCAAGCCAACGAUCUGUAGCUGGUCUGAGAGGACGACCAGCCACACUGGAACUGAGACACGGUCCAGACUCCUACGGGAGGCAGCAGUGGGGAAUUUUGGACAAUGGACGCAAGUCUGAUCCAGCCAUUCCGCGUGCAGG
RNAcentral lists this ribosomal RNA (380 nucleotides) under uncultured bacterium. RNAcentral's name for it is "bacterial SSU rRNA". It matches the Rfam family "Bacterial small subunit ribosomal RNA", at positions 30 to 407 of the family's 1533-position model. The record is from RNAcentral.